UACGGAAGGCAGCAGUGGGGAAUAUUGCACAAUGGGCGAAAGCCUGAUGCAGCUAUGCCGCGUGUAUGAAGAAGGCCUUAGGGUUGUAAAGUACUUUCAUCGGGGAGGAAAAACAAAACUAAUAAUUUUAUUUCUUGACGUUACCCGAAAAAGAAGCACCGGCUAACUCCGUGCCAGCAGCCGCGGUAAUACGGAGGGUGCUAGCGUUAAUCAGAAUUACUGGGCGUAAAGAGCACGUAGGUGGUUUUUUUAAAGUCAGAUGUGAAAUCCCUGGGCUUAACCUAGGAACUGCAUUUUGAAACUGAAAUACUAGAGUAUCGUAGAGGGAGGUAGAAUUCUAGGUGUAGCGGUGAAAUGCGUAGAUAUCUGGAGGAAUACCUGUGGCGAAAGCGGCCUCCUAAACGAAUACUGACACUGGGGUGCGAAAGCGUGGGGAGCAAACAGGGAUUAGAUACC
Molecule: ribosomal RNA, 456 nt
Filed under: uncultured bacterium
Lineage: Bacteria
Description: bacterial SSU rRNA
Rfam family: Bacterial small subunit ribosomal RNA
Source: RNAcentral